AGCAGCCGCGGUAAUUCCAGCUCCAAUAGCGUAUAUUAAAGUCGUUGCAGUUAAAAAGCUCGUAGUUGAAUUUCGGGAUCAAUUUAUCGGUCGUGCCUAUGGUAUGAACUGGUACAAUUGGUUUCUCCCUUCUGACGAAGCAUGAUGUCAUUAAUUUGGUGUCGUGGGGAAUCAGGGCUGUUACUUUGAAAAAAUUAGAGUGUUUAAAGCAAGCAUUAGCUUGAAUACAUUAGCAUGGAAUAAUGAAAUAGGACGUUUGAUCCCAUUUCGUUGGUUUCUAGGAUCGACGUAAUGAUUAAUAGGGAUAGUUGGGGGCAUUAGUAUUCAAUUGUCAGAGGUGAAAUUCUUGGAUUUAUUGAAGACUAACUACUGCGAAAGCAUUUGCCAAGGAUGUUUUCAUUAAUCAAGAACGAAAGUUAGGGGAUCGAAGACGAUCAGAUACCGUCGUAGUCUUAACCAUAAACUAUGCCGACUAGGGAUCGGAUGAUGUUAAUUUUUUAAUGACUCA
RNAcentral lists this ribosomal RNA (508 nucleotides) under uncultured fungus. Its description in RNAcentral is "SSU rRNA". It matches the Rfam family "Eukaryotic small subunit ribosomal RNA", at positions 569 to 1078 of the family's 1831-position model. The record is from RNAcentral. Lineage: Eukaryota; Fungi.